AUUGAACGCUGGCGGCAUGCUUUACACAUGCAAGUCGAACGGAAGCGCGGGCUUCGGCCUGGCGGCGAGUGGCGAACGGGUGAGUAAUGCAUCGGAACGUGCCCAGUAGUGGGGGAUAGCCCGGCGAAAGCCGGAUUAAUACCGCAUACGACCUGAGGGUGAAAGCGGGGGACCGAAAGGCCUCGCGCUAUUGGAGCGGCCGAUGUCGGAUUAGCUAGUUGGUGGGGUAAAGGCUUACCAAGGCGACGAUCCGUAGCUGGUCUGAGAGGACGACCAGCCACACUGGGACUGAGACACGGCCCAGACUCCUACGGGAGGCAGCAGUGGGGAAUUUUGGACAAUGGGGGCAACCCUGAUCCAGCCAUGCCGCGUGCGGGAAGAAGGCCUUCGGGUUGUAAACCGCUUUUGUUCGGGAAGAAAUCCUCUGGGCUAAUACCCCGGGGGGAUGACGGUACCGGAAGAAUAAGCACCGGCUAACUACGUG
This 484-nucleotide ribosomal RNA is filed under the name uncultured bacterium. RNAcentral describes it as "partial 16S ribosomal RNA". It matches the Rfam family "Bacterial small subunit ribosomal RNA", at positions 29 to 507 of the family's 1533-position model. The record is from RNAcentral.